Triticum aestivum (bread wheat) is the source of this 180-nucleotide non-coding RNA. The record is from Rfam. Lineage: Eukaryota; Viridiplantae; Streptophyta; Magnoliopsida; Poales; Poaceae.
AAAAUACUCCCUCCGUCCAAAAAUACUUGUCAUCAAAAUAAAUAAAAGGGGAUGUAUCCAGAACGUCUGGAUACAUCCCCUUUUAUCAAAAUGAAUAAAAGGGGAUGUAUCCAGAACGUCUGGAUACAUCCCCUUUUAUUCAUUUUGAUGACAAGUAUUUUUGGACGGAGGGAGUAUUAG